Molecule: ribosomal RNA, 465 nt
Filed under: uncultured bacterium
Lineage: Bacteria
Description: partial 16S ribosomal RNA
Rfam family: Bacterial small subunit ribosomal RNA
Source: RNAcentral
GACGAACGCUGGCGGCGUGCUUAACACAUGCAAGUCGAACGGAAAGGCCCUGCUUGCAGGGUACUCGAGUGGCGAACGGGUGAGUAACACGUGGGUGAUCUGCCCUGCACUUCGGGAUAAGCCUGGGGAACUGGGGCGAAUAUCGGAUAGGAGCCAUUCUGAGUGUGAUGGUGGGAAAGUUUUUUCGGGUGGGGAUGAGCUCGCGGCCUACCUGCUUGUUGGUGGGGUUAUGGCCUACCCAGGCGGCGGCGGGUAGCCGGCCUGGGGGGGUGGACGGCCCCCAUGGGGCUGGGAUACGGCCCCGGCUCCUUCCGGGGGGAGCAGUGGGGGAUUUUUCCCAAUGGGGCGGAGCCUGAUGCCGCGACGCCGCGUUGGGGAUGGCGGCCUUCGGGUUGUAAACUCCUUUCGCUAGGGACGAAGCUUUUUGUGACGGUACCUAGAUAAGAAGCACCGGCUAACUACGUG